UAGUUAAAUCUUAAAACCCAAAGGAUUUGGCGGUAUUUUAUCUGUUUAGAGGAACCUGUUCCGUAAUUAAUAAUACAUGAUGAACUUUACUUUAUCUUAGGGUUUGUAUAUCGCCGUUAUCAGAAUAUUUUUCGAGAAAAUUAAAAUUCAUUAAAUUAUUGAAAAUUUUAGUUCAGGUCAAGGUGCAGCUCAUGAUAAAGUGGAAAUGGGUUACAUUUAAAAAAAUUAAUAUGAAUAAAAAUAUGAAAUAAUAAUUUUGAAGGUGGAUUUAAAAGUAAAAAAUUAAAUAAUAAAAUAUUUGAUAUAAGUUCUAAAAUAUGU
This 321-nucleotide ribosomal RNA is filed under the name Neotridactylus australis. Its description in RNAcentral is "partial 12S ribosomal RNA". Lineage: Eukaryota; Metazoa; Arthropoda; Insecta; Orthoptera; Tridactylidae. The record is from RNAcentral.